This is a small nucleolar RNA of Artibeus jamaicensis (Jamaican fruit-eating bat), 132 nucleotides long. RefSeq annotates it as small nucleolar RNA SNORA51. The transcript has a single exon. Lineage: Eukaryota; Metazoa; Chordata; Mammalia; Chiroptera; Phyllostomidae. The record is from RefSeq and is a predicted model, not a curated record.
GGCCUCCCGGUGCUUACCACGGGCUGUGGUCUUACACCACCUGUACAGAAAGAGGAGGAAGAAUGGACCCACCCCAUAUACACCUUGGCCCAGGCCCUCUGCCUGGUCUGUGUUGUGAAUGGGAGAACAUGG